Molecule: ribosomal RNA, 1026 nt
Filed under: Lophiotrema eburnoides
Lineage: Eukaryota; Fungi; Ascomycota; Dothideomycetes; Pleosporales; Lophiotremataceae
Description: SSU rRNA
Rfam family: Eukaryotic small subunit ribosomal RNA
Source: RNAcentral
CAUUAUACCGUGAAACUGCGAAUGGCUCAUUAAAUCAGUUAUCGUUUAUUUGAUAGUACCUUACUACUUGGAUAACCGUGGUAAUUCUAGAGCUAAUACAUGCUAAAAACCCCAACUUCGGGAGGGGUGUAUUUAUUAGAUAAAAAACCAAUGCCCUCCGGGGCUCUUUGGUGAUUCAUGAUAACUUAACGGAUCGCAUGGCCUUGCGCCGGCGACGGUUCAUUCAAAUUUCUGCCCUAUCAACUUUCGAUGGUAAGGUAUUGGCUUACCAUGGUUUCAACGGGUAACGGGGAAUUAGGGUUCGAUUCCGGAGAGGGAGCCUGAGAAACGGCUACCACAUCCAAGGAAGGCAGCAGGCGCGCAAAUUACCCAAUCCCGACUCGGGGAGGUAGUGACAAUAAAUACUGAUACAGGGCUCUUUUGGGUCUUGUAAUCGGAAUGAGUACAAUUUAAACCCCUUAACGAGGAACAAUUGGAGGGCAAGUCUGGUGCCAGCAGCCGCGGUAAUUCCAGCUCCAAUAGCGUAUAUUAAAGUUGUUGCAGUUAAAAAGCUCGUAGUUGAACCUUGGGCCUGGCUGGCCGGUCCGCCUCACCGCGUGUACUGGUCCGGCCGGGCCUUUCCUUCUGGAGAGCCGCAUGCCCUUCACUGGGUGUGUCGGGGAACCAGGACUUUUACUUUGAAAAAAUUAGAGUGUUCAAAGCAGGCCUUUGCUCGAAUACGUUAGCAUGGAAUAAUAGAAUAGGACGUGCGGUCCUAUUUUGUUGGUUUCUAGGACCGCCGUAAUGAUUAAUAGGGAUAGUCGGGGGCAUCAGUAUUCAAUUGUCAGAGGUGAAAUUCUUGGAUUUAUUGAAGACUAACUACUGCGAAAGCAUUUGCCAAGGAUGUUUUCAUUAAUCAGUGAACGAAAGUUAGGGGAUCGAAGACGAUCAGAUACCGUCGUAGUCUUAACCGUAAACUAUGCCGACUAGGGAUCGGGCGAUGUUUCUAUCUUGACUCGCUCGGCACCUUACGAGAAAUCAUAAGUU